RNAcentral lists this long non-coding RNA (2088 nucleotides) under Anas platyrhynchos platyrhynchos (common mallard). RNAcentral describes it as "lncRNA (ENSAPLG00000026703.1)". The record is from RNAcentral. Lineage: Eukaryota; Metazoa; Chordata; Aves; Anseriformes; Anatidae.
AAAUGUGAUCUCGUGAACCGGGUGGCAACAGCCACGGCGUCUUGGGCGACCCAGCCAAGCGCGCAUGGGAAACACUAGUGUCUUGUCAGUCACGUUUUCACAGAAAAACAGCCUCAUUGUAAGGUGGCUUUAGUUCACGAGCUCCCAGGGCUGCUUUAUGCCCACAAGGAAACAUUUAGGACCACUAGAAAAAUAUUUAUCUAUAAAGAUCAACACCAUCAAAUAUCCUCCCCAGCACGCACGACCUGCCUACACAGCCCCAGCCCACAGCUUCCAUCACCAUCCUGACUACUGGGACAUCCCUGGGGAUGGGAGCGGGGAAGAUCUGGGAUUACACAUUAGCCAGGCCAGCCGCACCAAGGUCCCUGGUAAUAGGAAGGGUUACAAGACAGCAGUCGGUCACGCUGUUAAUGUGUAACGCUCGUGCCACCUUUACCUAGCUUUCCGCUCGCCUGCUUUGUGGUGUCAGCAUCUGCCAGAAGCCAUGGGGAGUCCAGGCAGGGGCUUCUCAACCUACUGAAGUUUGUCCUCGCCAGCACCCUCAGAGACCCUUCAUGGGCAGGUCCUGGUUUUGUGGCACCUGCUGGUGCUGGUGUAAACCUCGGGGCCCCCCCUUGCCCCAGGUUGCAGACCCUCCCGCCCCUCUCCACGGGCCAGCACCCCAUGUAUGUGUGCGUGCCUGUUCUGUUUCCCCUGUUCUAUUUCUAUCUUAUUCCACUCCAUGGAGCUUUGCAAGUCCAUUGACCGCUGGAUUGGGCAGAGAUCUCAACCACACACAGCCCCACCAGCUUUGUUGAAACAGGUGGAUGGCCAGGGCUGAGCGACCAAAAUCUAGUGGAAAUAUCUUCUCCUGGUGGCAAGGUCAUGGCAGGGACUUGCCGCUGUGGCCGGCAGGGCCGGUGCUGACGCUGGUGCUCAGCUUGAAGGUGCAGGACUGCACAGCCUGGCUUUGUUGGGCAGCAUCCCCCUGGUGCAAGCUGUGCUGCUUUACCAGGGACACAGCUCAGCCUGCCUUAUCACUAGGUUUGCAUCUGGUUUCCAUGGAAACUAAAGAAAACAGGCAGCAAGCCCCCUCCAAAAACAACUUUGAACAGCCCUUCCAGUAUCAUCUUUCAGACUGUCACUUUGGAUGUGUCACGUUUUUCCUAGAAAGUGUGUGCAAGUAUGGACAGACUGGUACCUACUUGUCCUGGCAGGCCCACUGAGAGCUGGAUCCUUCUGAAGCAUCUUCCAUGGCAAUUCUUAGCCAAACAUCACAAGUGCAAAUGGCGUACAAAAACCUGGGUGCACACAGAAAAAAAAUGAGAUCAGCUACAGAGAAAAGGAAAUGGAUGGAUGGGCUGUUAAGAGGAGAGAAGAAAACCAGUCCCAGUGGGAAAUCGUAAGUACCACUGGGAGAUGCCUGCCCCUGCCCUUUCUGGGGGUGAUACUGGGGGACCCACCACUCCCUGUGCCCAUGGCUGGGGUCUGGAAACAGCUCUGGGCCAAAUCCUGUGCAACACUGCAGCCUCCCCAACUGGAAAAGUGAAGGAUUAGUGCCCUCUUCCAAAUCAAAUCUGGCUGAAAGGAGCAAAUCCCAUCUCCUCCUCCAUGGGCUUCAUCUUCUUCCUCCCCUCUUCCCACCAGCACGAACCAGAGCCAAGGAGCCAUCCCGGGGAGCAGCCAGAUUGCGCUGUGUGUUCAAACCAGCAGUGAUGACCUGUGGCCAUCUGUUCAUCACAGGUGUGUACACGGCACAGGCUGCAACAGAGGCACCCUCAGACACACCAGUCAUGGGCUGUGGUGUGCGUGGGGCUGCCGGGAGGGUGGGUGCCAGCCCUGGCUGAUGUCCCACACCACUGGGGUCCACACGUCCACAGCUCCUGUGCUGCAAAGCCCUGCCGGCCACCUCAGGCAUUGUUUGCCCACCUGGUGUCCUCCAGACCUCACGGCAGCGGUCCCUGCUCACCACCAAAACGUGAUAUCUCUCGACACAUGGUGCCAAAUAAGCCCCUUAGCCAGCUCUCCUCACCAGGGGAGGAUUGCCUGCUGGUCACUCCAAAUUCCUUCACAUCUGCAAAAAGGAGUGGGUGCACGUAGAUGAAAAGC